RNAcentral lists this ribosomal RNA (253 nucleotides) under uncultured bacterium. Its description in RNAcentral is "partial 16S ribosomal RNA". It matches the Rfam family "Bacterial small subunit ribosomal RNA", at positions 524 to 776 of the family's 1533-position model. The record is from RNAcentral.
UACAGAGGUCUCAAGCGUUGUUCGGAUUCAUUGGGCGUAAAGGGCGCGUAGGCGGCGGGGUAAGUCGGGUGUGAAAUCUCAGAGCUCAACUCUGAAAUGGCACUUGAUACUGCUCUGCUAGAGGACUGGAGAGGAGAUUGGAAUUCACGGUGUAGCAGUGAAAUGCGUAGAUAUCGUGAGGAAGACCGGUGGCGAAGGCGGAUCUCUGGACAGUUCCUGACGCUGAGGCGCGAAAGCUAGGGGAGCAAACGGG